GCUAAGGGAAAUCAAAUGGAAAUGCCCGUGGUGAUCGUGCCGGAGCCAUUAGCUGGAAGGCCGCCGGCGCCAAAGAAUAUCGCCCAUAAAAGACUAGCCGUUGAGAGAAUGAUAACGGCAAAACCAUUUGAAUUUCAAUAUAAAUAUAAGCAAUUCAGUUUCAUUUCGUUACAGACAUUCUUUCUUUCUCUGAUUGCCCCUUUCUCUCGAUGUUCUGUUUUGUGAUUGUCCAUUUAAGUGUUUGCUUUGUUUUCAUUUUUCAUUUUUUCUGGUUUUCAGUGUGCACGCUGGUCUGUCUGUCUUUUUUUUGGUAUUACAUUUUUCUGGCAAAGCAGGGGAAAGGUAGAGCAGAGGAAGAGGCAGAGCAACCGAGGGCAAAUUCUUCUUCCAGGCAUGAGAUUCAGAACCCAGCAAGUGUUCAUAUAACUGAUGCAGAGAGGAAGAAAUGGGAAGUUCCUUAUGACCUGCUUUGCCUUAUGACCUGCUUUGUUUAUAGCAAGUAGCUGCUCUAGAAGGAAACCAUAUUUUCAAAACAACUAACCCAGUGUUUGAAUUCUCUGUGUUCUCAGGCAAUGAGUUGAUCUUCUCCUACACAGCUAACCCAUUUGGAUUUGCUAUCAAGCGCAGAUCCCAUGGAAAGGUUAUGUUCAACUCUUCAUAUGGUAGCUUGGUUUUCAGUAUCUGGUGAGCAGAUACCAAAUCGUUGAGGACUUGGAUGUGCUAUCUGUACCAUGACUGUAAUCCUAUGGUUCUGCAUGGAGAUGUGCACCAAUGUAGUAAUGGACAGACACACGGAAGCUCGGAUGUCUGAUUUUGCUCAGCCAGACUCAUGCAGAGGGAAGCCACCAUGUGCUCUAGCGCAUAUAUUGCAUCAGCCACAUGGAAGCUUGGAUGUCUGAUUUUGCUUAGCCAGACUCAUGCAGAGGGAAGCCACCAUGUGCUCUAGCGCAUACAUUGCACCACGGUGGCAGGCAUGUUGCAGCCAAAAAACUUCAGUAUGAUAAGAAGGAUAUUGAGCAGCUUUUUGAAUUAGUUGUUUUUCAUCAUGGUGUAUUCAAAACAACAAGAGAUGGAAUUAGGCUUGCAUUAUUUCUUUAGUUACGUUUUGGUCAAGCAUUUUGACUUGAUAGCAUUGUAAAAUGUACAAAUAUAAUGUUUAAUAAAAAAAUUAUUGGUUUGGACUGAAGGGAACAGUCAUUGGCCAUGGCUAUUCCUUGAGGUCGUGUUUUCUGACAGCUUAAAGAAUGGUCAAUAGGCCAAAGCCAUUCAUUAA
This is a long non-coding RNA of Cryptomeria japonica (Japanese cedar), 1273 nucleotides long. RefSeq lists it as uncharacterized. The record is from RefSeq and is a predicted model, not a curated record. The transcript is spliced from 5 exons. Lineage: Eukaryota; Viridiplantae; Streptophyta; Pinopsida; Cupressales; Cupressaceae.